RNAcentral lists this long non-coding RNA (1375 nucleotides) under Equus caballus (horse). RNAcentral describes it as "lncRNA (ENSECAG00000050214.1)". Lineage: Eukaryota; Metazoa; Chordata; Mammalia; Perissodactyla; Equidae. The record is from RNAcentral.
GGAUAUGGAUAUCAAGCAGCUGAAGGCAGAGACACAUCCCUGCUCAAGGACAGUGAGCGCAUCCAGUCCACACAGACUGUUACCUCUGACGACGAAGACAGUGACAUCAAGAAAAUUAAGAAGAUCUGCACCAUUCCUCUGGGCUGGCACAAAUGUCCCUUCCCAGCCCUCUUGAGAGAGCCUCCUACGACAGCCCAGUGUUGGCAGUGUCUACCUCCUGUCCCACGGCCGCCAGGGCAUGCUACCUCCCACCUCAGCUCCAAAGACAGAACUGACAGCUUAUUACUCCUGAACAGCACCUUGUCAAGGCAUUUCUUCUGGUUGUCCUUGUGCAGUAGGGGGUUCAGCCGCAUUGUAUAGAUGAGAAAAAUGAGACUCCAGGAGAGGAGGCAGUCGACAGAGGCAGGACGAGAACCCAGGCCAUGAGACUCGCAGCUGAGAGCUCUCCUCAACGCCAGGCAGCCUCACUUGCCAGACUUGAAGCAGGGGAGCCUGACUCGCCCCAAGAAAACCAGGGAAAACUGCUUGUUUCCUACUCGUUGCGAGGGCAAGAGAACCGCAGUGCCAUUCAAACCAGAAAGUGCAGACUGGCGCCCACAGGCAAGUUCAGCCUACCCGUGUGUUCAGGAUUUUUAGCCUACACGAUGUUUUGGUUUUUUUCUUUUUUAAUUUGUUGCCAGUGCUUUAAAAGCUAAAUAUUUCAUAUAAAUCUGGAUUUCUGAUUUCUUAAAAAUAGAAAUAGCUAACAUUCAUUAUGCAUGUUCUUUGUGCCAGAUACUAUUCUAGGAGCUUCAUGCAGAUUAAUUUGUUCCUAACUAAAAAUCCUCUGAGGUUUCGUUAUUAUCUGCAUUUCACAUAUGAGGAAGCUGAGGUGCGGAGAGGCAAAGUGACUUACCCAGAUCACACAGCUAAGUAUUUGCAGAGUGACAUUUAAACCCUGGCCGCCAAGCUCAGAGCCCACAUCCUUGGUCACUGGGACACACUGCCUUCUGGAAGAGCAGGAGGUCCUGCAGCCCUGGGCCCACCUCCUACACGUGGUGACAGUUGGCAAGGAGGUGUUGCCCCAUUAGUCCCCACCCAUCUGGUUUCAUGCAUCUCUAGGACCUGCCAGGCCCCCAUAGGCACUAGGAUUUGCCACCAGAUCUGAACCAAGCCCCCCAGGCAGGAGUGCCCUGGCUUACCUUCUCUGCUAUGGUCCCACUGGACUUCCCGGUCCAUUUUGAGAAGGCAUUCUGGUUGGAACAUUUUGUUGAGUACCAGCUGAAACCCCUGAGAUCCACCUCCUUCCCUCCAUUUUCACCCUCGUGGAGCCUCAGAGGAAGCCCUUUUCUCAUCAAGAAAGACUUCCUAUCUUCAAAGAGAGCAGUUGGGGCUC